GGGGGCGUUUAGGGGCGCCUUGUGCUGGGCAGCGGGGGCCGGGCUUUUUGGUUUUUUGGUGCUGCGUUAAUGGUUUUUGCUCGUUCUGUGUCCAUUUGCAGCCUCGCUCGUGGUUUCCCCUGGGGCGGAGGCGAGUUGUGCUUCCUGCGGGGAGAGAGAAGGGCCUUGGGAAGCUGCUCCAUGAGCCACAGCUGUGCCGAGCCCGGGAGUCUGUCCAGCACCCUUUCUGCUGCUGGGAGAGCACGAGGUGGAUGGAGAGGAUCCCCAGGCAUGUGCAGGCACAAGGGACUCGUACAACUGCGAUUUUCCUCCAGCCCUUGUGGAAGGGACUUUCAGGAUACUCUUGGGAAUGGGCCAGCUCUCCUGCUGGAGCUUUUCUGUGGAAUAUUUGAACACAAAGGGAGAAAAUGGGGCAAGCGGGCAGGAAGAAGAGAAGCCCUGUGACUCCUCCCUGAGCCCCAGCCAGCCCCUGAACUGCCUUCCUGGGAAUGGUGGGACGGGCUGGACUCUGGAUUGCUCCCUCUGCAUGUGUGGCUCUCCCCUCAGGAACUGCAGGAACUCCUGGUGCCGCCUGGGCCGAUGGAUUGGACGCCCCAGCCCCUCCGUUCCUGCCCAGCCCCUGGGGCCGUGUCCAGUGGUGGCACUGCCAGCCCUGCAGGGGAAGUGGGAAGGGCCUUUGCAGGUCUGGUGGGUCACAUUGAUAGCAGUGGGAUGGAGCCUGGAAAGUGCACAGAGCUGAGCCAAGGGAUUGAAAGGGACCAAGCAAGGGAGGUGAAGAAAGAAGGAAGAAGGGAAGUGAGGCAGCAGGCAAGCAGCACCAAGUUGCUGUGUAAGCAGGUGAGUUGUGUUGAGGUUCCUCAGGCAGGCACUGAGGACUUGGAGGGCUCCAGACAGAGCAGACCUGGGAAGGCCCUCGGUGAAGCCCCUCAGAGACCUUCUAAGGGUAGGUGUGUGUGGUGAUAAGUGUUGGGAUUGUCCUGAAUGUGGAAUAGGAAUGCAGGGAAGGAAAACGAACCCUCCUGUAAUGCUGCCAUAUCAGCUGCAGUGGAGACCCCUCCGUGUGCCCUUUGGGAGUGGAUUGCCAGGACCCCCAUGGGGCUGGGAUC
Long non-coding RNA from Pseudopipra pipra, 1106 nucleotides. RefSeq lists it as uncharacterized. The transcript has 5 exons. The record is from RefSeq and is a predicted model, not a curated record. NCBI's taxonomy places the organism in Eukaryota, Metazoa, Chordata, Aves, Passeriformes, Pipridae.